UACGAAGGGGGCUAGCGUUGCUCGGAUUACUGGGCGUAAAGGGCGCGUAGGCGGACAGUUUAGUCAGAGGUGAAAGCCCAGGGCUCAACCUUGGAAUUGCCUUUGAUACUGGCUGUCUUGAGUACGGGAGAGGUGAGUGGAACUCCGAGUGUAGAGGUGAAAUUCGUAGAUAUUCGGAAGAACACCAGUGGCGAAGGCGACUCACUGGCCCGUUACUGACGCUGAGGCGCGAAAGCGUGGGAGCAAACAGG
RNAcentral lists this ribosomal RNA (251 nucleotides) under uncultured bacterium. Its description in RNAcentral is "partial 16S ribosomal RNA". It matches the Rfam family "Bacterial small subunit ribosomal RNA", at positions 524 to 776 of the family's 1533-position model. The record is from RNAcentral.